Long non-coding RNA from Mytilus trossulus (common blue mussel), 2232 nucleotides. RefSeq lists it as uncharacterized. Lineage: Eukaryota; Metazoa; Mollusca; Bivalvia; Mytilida; Mytilidae. The transcript is spliced from 3 exons. The record is from RefSeq and is a predicted model, not a curated record.
ACUGUCUGACUUCGCUCUUUGUUCGUCCAUUACUGCAUGCUAUUUUAGACGUUAUUUUAUGUUGUUCCCACUUCGAAGAGAUUUUACUGCAGAUUUAAUGAUAAUAAGACUAUGACAAAGAUGAUUUGGUAGAGGUGGAUCAUAGUCCUAGUGUCAUUUCUUGAGAUGACUGCUUGGGAUGUCAGAUAGAAAAUACAUGUUGAAGAAAUCAUAUUUUACAGUGGAUGCAGUUCUAGUCACACUGGACUUGGCACUAUUGGAUCUUGUUUUUACACCAAUUCCGAUUGGUGGAUUCAACCAGAGUAUAUGUAUGGAACAACACCCUUAGGAAGGAAAUAGUCACAGAUAAUACCACACCCUCAAAUGGACUUUUUAUACGACCGCAAAAUUUGAAAAAAAUUUCGUCGUAUAUUGCUAUCACGUUGGCGUCGUCGUCGUCGUCCGAAUACUUUUAGUUUUCGCACCCUUACUUUAGUAAAAGUGAAUAGAAAUCUAUGAAAUUUUAACACCAGGUUUAUGACCACAAAAGGAAGGUUGGUAUUGAUUUUGGGAGUUUUGGUCCCAACAUUUUAGGAAUUAGGGGCCAAAAAGGGCCCAAAUAAGCAUUUUCUUGGUUUUCGCACUAUAACUUUAGUUUAAGUUAAUAGAAAUCUAUGAAAUUUUGACACAAGGUUUAUGACCACAAAAGAAAGGUUGGGAUAGAUUUUGGGAGUUUUGGUUUCAACGGUGUAGGAAUUAGGGGCCAAAAAUGGACCCAAAUAAGCAUUAUUCUUGGUUUUCGCACAAUAACUUUAGUUUAAGAGAAUAGAAAUCAAUGAAAUUUAAAGACAAGGUUUAUAACCACAAAAGGAAGGUUGGUAUUGAUAUUGGGAGUUAAGGUCCCCACAGUUUAGGAAUAAGGGGCCCAAAGGGUCCAAAUUAAACUUUGUUUGAUUUCAUCAAAAUUGAAUAAUUGGGGUUAUUUGACAUGCUGAAUCUAACUGUGUAUGUAGAUUCUUUACUGUUGGUCCUGUUUUCCAAUUGGUCUACAUUAAGGUCCAAAGGGUCCAAAAUUAAACUUAGCUUGAUUUUGACAAAAAAUGAAUCGGUUGGGUUCUUUGAUAUGCUGAAUCUAAAAAUGUACUUAGAUUCUUGAUUAUUGGCCCAGUUUUCAAGUUGGUCCAAAUCGGGGUCCAAAAUUAAACUUUGUUUGAUUUCAUCCAAAAUUGAAUAAAUGGGGUUCUUUGAUAUGCCAAAUCUAACUGUGUAUGUAGAUUCUUCAUUUUUGGUCCUGUUUUCAAAUUGGUCUACAUUAAAGUUCAAAGGGUCCAAAAUUAAACUUAGUUUGAUUUUAACAAAAAUUGAAAUCUUGGGGUUCUUUGAUAUGCUGAAUCCAAUCAUGUACUUAGAUUUUUGAUUAUGGGCCCAGUUUUCAAGUUGGUCCAAAUCAGGAUUUAAAAUUAUUAUAUUAAGUAUUGUGCAAUAGCAAGUCUUUUCAAUUGCACAGUAUUGCGCAAUGGCAAGAAAUAUCUAAUUGCACAAUAUUGUGAAAUAGCAAAUUUUAUUUUAAUUAGAGUUAUCUUUCUUUGUCCAGAAUAGUAAGCAAGAAAUAUCUAAUUGCACAAUAUUGUGCAAUAGCAAGAUUUUUUUUAAAUUGGAGUUAUCUCUGUUUGUCCAGAAUCAACUUAAAUCUUUCUUAUAUACAAUAUACAAUGUAUAUUCACUUUUUACUACCAACUGAUAAAUUAAAAUAAUCUUUACCAUUCAGUGAUAACAAGCAGUUUUUUAACAUCUUAAUAUUUUAUGAUGUAUUUAAACGAGUAGUUAUUGUUGCAAACUAUAUUAGAAAUUUUAAUUGAGAUUAGUUUUGAAAUAAGGGAAAGGGGAAUGUGAUUGAAAAAAUUGGGUUCAAUUUUUUUCAUUUGAAAUUUCAUAAAUAAAAAGAAAAUUUCUUCAAACAUUUUUUUGAGAGGAUUAAUAUUCAACAGCAUAGUGAAUUGCUCUAAGAGAAAACAAAAAUUUUAAGUUCAUUAGAACAAAUUCAUUCUGUGUCAGAAACCUAUGCUGUGUCAACUAUUUAAUCACAAUCCAAAUUUAGAGCUGAAUCCAGCUUGAAUGUUGUGUCCAUACUUGCCCCAACCGUUCAGGGUUCAACCUCUGCAGUCAUAUAAAGCUACGCCCUGCGGAGCAUCUGGUUUUUAAAUUAGAGAUAAAAGAUUAAAAAAUUUUGGAUAUCUACUUUUUUUUUUGAAG